Molecule: unclassified non-coding RNA, 1404 nt
Filed under: Hevea brasiliensis (rubber tree)
Lineage: Eukaryota; Viridiplantae; Streptophyta; Magnoliopsida; Malpighiales; Euphorbiaceae
Source: RNAcentral
AGUCUGCCACAGGAGGAUAUUUUUUGAGGUUAACCUGCUUCCUCCCUCGCAGGAAUGCUAUGUUAGCCGUGGGAUCGGCUUUAAUGAGACCGUGGGUCGACCCUAACUGUUAUCUUCUAUUUGUUUGUUGCAUUUCCCACAUAGUGGAAAAGUAUUUCUUCAGGUUCCUGUGAAAAAUAAUCUCGGCUGUCUCACAGUUUACGGUUACGCCGGCGUGCUAGAUACUGAGUAUAUCUUUUAAUUUGCGCUUUGACUUUUAAACCAAAUGAUUGUGGGAACUGACUUAUUAUACGCAAUUUCGUUAAUCUAACAAUUAAUUGAAAGUAAGUAAACUGGAAUUGAAUGCUUGCGCUUCGAUUGAUCGAUUGAAAAGAAAAUAUAGAGCUUGAAAUUAAAUGCGAAAGCUUGGGAAAUAAAUGAUAGAUAAAAAUAAAGAUAAAAGACUACUGGAGUUUGGGUUGUUUGAGUUAUUCUGGUUGUUGGGGUGUUUUAUAUUGCUGCACAUCUUAUUCUUAUAGUUCUCCUUGCAAGUACUUGAAAGACUUUGAAAGACUUUGAAAGACACCUUGAAACUGUCUACUCCUUGAAACUGCUUGGAGCUGCUGGUAACCUCUCAUCUUCAGAUAACCUUCCAAUGACUCCCCAGAUAUUUGCUUCAUAAUUACCUUAGGUCAUAGAUUAAUUAAAUUAAUUUCACAAGUAAUUAAUUUAAUUAAUUUUUAUACCUAAAAAUAAUUAAUAAAUAAAUUAAUUAUUCUUUGUGUAUCCACUUGACGUUUUGAAUACUUGUAAAUUGUAAAAUUCACUGAUUAAAUGUCCUUUGCAUAAAUGGGUUGACACACUAUUGGUGCCUCAACUUUUAAUGCCUGUUUUUGUGUAUUUUUCAUGUGUUGGCUUUAUUAAACUUUCAACGUUACAAAGAAGAGUACAUUUUGCAGAGAAAAGAUUCAUUACUUCCUGGUUACUUGCAAGGAAACUCUGCCUCUUUGAUGGUUGGCCUUAUCAUCUUAGGAUUAUUAUGUCUAGAAGUAUGGAGCAGGAUCUGGAGACCCACUGGCUGCGUGUUCCAUUAGAAAGAAGCCAGUUAAAAGGUCUACAGCUAUUUCAAGUCUCAGAAAAGUGGCUAUCGAUCAUCAUUGCCAACAGAUUGAAACUGGGCUGUCUGGCAUAGAGCCAGCUGACUGAACUUUUCAAGUUAUUUAUUCAAUGUACACUGCACAAUAGCUACCAUCAGGGAGGACUGUACAUGCUGAAAAAUUCUUUCUGAGUACCUUUGUAAACUCUUUCUACUCUGCUUGUUUGACAAAAUUUUUGUUUUUCAUAGUUAGGAAAAUGUUGGUGGAGAUGUCAGCCUUGUUUGGCAUUGAGUUUCAGCGUCUGACUGACUGCUUUCCUGAAUAAAAG